UACGUAGGGUGCAAGCGUUAAUCGGAAUUACUGGGCGUAAAGCGUGCGCAGGCGGUGAUGUAAGACGGCUGUGAAAUCCCCGGGCUCAACCUGGGAACUGCAUCUGUGACUGCAUUGCUGGAGUGUGGCAGAGGGGGAUAGAAUUCCGCGUGUAGCAGUGAAAUGCGUAGAUAUGCGGAGGAACACCGAUGGCGAAGGCAAUCCCCUGGGCCUGCACUGACGCUCAUGCACGAAAGCGUGGGGAGCAAACAGG
RNAcentral lists this ribosomal RNA (253 nucleotides) under uncultured bacterium. Its description in RNAcentral is "partial 16S ribosomal RNA". It matches the Rfam family "Bacterial small subunit ribosomal RNA", at positions 524 to 776 of the family's 1533-position model. The record is from RNAcentral.